This 210-nucleotide long non-coding RNA is filed under the name Medicago truncatula (barrel medic). RNAcentral's name for it is "long non-coding RNA (MTRU_LNC001423)". Lineage: Eukaryota; Viridiplantae; Streptophyta; Magnoliopsida; Fabales; Fabaceae. The record is from RNAcentral.
CCUCUUCCCUCUCGCCUCCUUUACCACCGCAGCCCUUCCUCGGCCGUCCAAGCGACGGCGUUCUUCCCUCUUCUAAAAUAAUUACACAGAAUCAAUGGAAUUAUCAGUGAGAGAGUUUUGUCACUGUUGUGCAGCAAGCAAACAAACUACAACUGUAACCGUCUUCCAGUCCAAUCCUCUCAGAUCUGAAUCAAACCCUAACUCUUCUCC